GAUGAACGCUGGCGGCGUGCCUAAUACAUGCAAGUCGAGCGAACGGACGAGAAGCUUGCUUCUCUGAUGUUAGCGGCGGACGUGUGAGUAACACGUGGAUAACCUACCUAUAAGACUGGGAUAACUUCGGGAAACCGGAGCUAAUACCGGAUAAUAUUUUGAACCGCAUGGUUCAAAAGUGAAAGACGGUCUUUCUGUCACUUAUAGAUGGAUCCGCGCUGCAUUAGCUAGUUGGUAAGGUAACGGCUUACCAAGGCAACGAUGCAUAGCCGACCUGAGAGGGUGAUCGGCGACACUGGAACUGAGACACGGUCCAGACUCCUAAGGGAGGCAGCAGUAGGGAAUCUGCCGCAAUGGGCGAAAGCCUGACGGAGCAACGCCGCGUGAGUGAUGAAGGUCUUCGGAUCGUAAAACUCUGUUAUUAGGGAAGAACAUAUGUGGAAGUAACUGUGCACAGCUUGACGGUACCUAAUCAGAAAGCCACGGCUAACUACGUG
This 497-nucleotide ribosomal RNA is filed under the name uncultured bacterium. Its description in RNAcentral is "partial 16S ribosomal RNA". It matches the Rfam family "Bacterial small subunit ribosomal RNA", at positions 28 to 507 of the family's 1533-position model. The record is from RNAcentral.